ACUUCCUUUCUGAAUACUUCGACUUGACCUUCCGAGGAGUCUUCUAUCAAUGUUCUAUUUUUUUGACUUUCCGAUUUACAUUCUGACUAUUAUAUAAGUUGAUUGGAUAAUCCUUGUCACAUGUCUAUUUCUGGAUAAUACACGUGUUAAGUCUAUCUUUACCAAUACAGAUAGUCUUUCCACUUUUCAGAUAUUGUUCGAGGAAUUUUCGAGAAGUAGAAGAAGUUUUGACGGGAAGAAGAUCAUGAUUAAGAUUCUUAAUUGGCAGGAGAUAAGAUCUUAUCCGAUUUUUGCAUCCUGAAUUUGAAGCGACAUGCACUGUGAUUAAAGUAAUGCGUGAAAUUUUCAUUUAGUAUUUGAAACACGUGGCAGUUUAUGACUCGUUUGAUGCUUACAGUGAUUUCCAAGGUAAUGAUGAUACUGUGAUUUCCUAGUGAUGUUUUCGAAUUUGCCGACUUGAUGAAGAUGAUUCUGAAAGGUCGGGUUCAUAUAUAUAUAAAUAUGAAAUCUUUUCUCUCUUUUUCUUACCUUUCAAUUUCUUAAUGUACUUUAUUCCUUGACAGUUUUCGCCAACUCUAAGAACUAUUUCUGCAAUUUUCCUACUGAAAAUUAUGGAUCUAUAAAAUUUUGUUCUUUCUAUGCUUUUUUAUUUCUUAGCCCUGUCUUCAAUGUAAGACGUACUACUAUUUCGGAUGAGCUUCGGCGGAGUUAACCCCUUUAAUAAUGAGGUAGGAGAAGAGAUCCAAAAAACUUCUAAGGGGAAAAAGGUCAAAUAUGAAGACCUUUUUGAACCUUUGGCCAUAGAGAUACUGCCAAAAUAUCUUAAUAUCGCUGAAUAUUGCAAUACAUGGAAUAAAAUCGUAGCCAAACUUGAAACCACAAUACACAUGUGGAUAACUUUUCCUCUAUCAUUCAGCGGAACAUAUCCCUCUCGUUCGAGAUGAGUCUCAUUGGAACCCCAACAUUUACAUCUAAAUACCUCAGCAUAAUGACCGAAUUACCAGUUAUUCAACUAUUUUUUGUUUCAGGUACACAUACCCUUUCACUCUUGGGUUUUCGGUAAUUGACUCUAUUAUUUUGUAUUUUUGUAAGCACUUCAAAUUUGUUUGACUCAAGUAGGUCCGAGCAUUUUAAGGCUCAUAGCAUGUCUACGGUAUUUGAUAAUUUUGGCUGAGGUUGAUUUUUUGCUUCAAUGUCUUCUCAACCUCUAGUCCAAAAAGCUUUUCUAUUGUGGUAUUUUCACUCUUUGCAACUGUGAAAAGUAUGCUAUCGGAAUGAUCACGACAGAUAAUGGUACUUUAAAUUUCUGAUUGUCCCUUCAUGUGAUCUAGUUCUCGGAGACGAUUUGUUGUUGGAGAGAGAGAACGACAAACCUCCAGGAAUUGUGUGGUGAAAUCUAUGAUCUUAGGGAGUGUAUGGAUAAAAUUUUAGCAUCUUCAAACAAUACUUGAGGACUUGGAAGUACAUUUCUAAAAUAUAUGGAUGGAUGAAAAAGCAUCACGGUCUUUGGCUCAAAGAACAGUUGCCUGAGCUUAAUUGAGAUACCGAAGAAUGAUGAUGGAGCUCAAGAACAAAUCUAGAGGCUUGCUGCUCCAAUGAGUCAAAUGGUAUUUGUAGGAGGUAAUGUUAGUAGUCCUCUAAGGAAGAGAAUGACCGGAUCGAAACAUUUCCUGAGUUGAUUCCCAGGCUAUUCAGUUUCCUUAGGGACGUGUCAAAGGACAAUCCCAUUAUUGUUGAUGAGAGUGAUAAGAGAGAGUCUCCGGCUGGGGUACAUGUAGAUAAAAUAGUUUCGGGGACUGGAACGGAAUUUCUUGUACAAGUCGAUUUUGAUGAUUGGCUCGGUCAAGGCCUUUUUACUAAAAUAGAUGGAGAUAUCAUUCCUGAGCCCUUGUCCUUUCCGGAGCUUCCAGUUUUACAAGGUGCAGAGGCUAGACCAUCAACGACAGAGCCUAUUGUCGCUGUUGGUAAAUAUAACAUUACGAUUGAAACUUCAAAUGAUGUUAAUCUUUUGAAAUGUUCGAAUAAGUAUGUUGUUUGGUUGAAAGGGUUACUUGUUCCUUUGGAGAAGUAAAAAAUUGACUACAAACAGAUCUCCGAUAGUAUGAAGCUCCCACCAGAUUGUGUAUGCACCAGAGGUGCAAGUAUUAUAGUAGAGCUUGAAGGUGUGGAUAUAAAUUCCACCUAUGUGGAAGGGAAGUUAUGAAAGCGACAGAAGAUACGAUUCGAGAUUUGAAAGUAAGUAAGGUAAAAGUAAAGAGGUACGAGAUACUUAAGUAUAAAAGGUUCUGAAUAGUUAAUGUUUCAUAUAGAGGGCUAGAAGAGUCGUGAUUCAGUAUCUAGAAAUGAUAGUGGUGUCGUCAGUAGCACAUCUUCCAACCUAUGAUUUCUAGGUAUCAAGAGCUCUAGUUACGAGAUCAAAGAAGAAUUAGAGGAAACGUGAUGUCUCGUUUGAGGUUCCAGAAUAACAUAAAAAAAUCUAUGGUGCUAGCAUGUUAAAUAAAGGUUGUGAGUAGUACGAAUAGAUACUUGUAGGUCGCAGGCUAAAGUAUGGUAGAAUAAAAAAUUUCUAGGUAGACAGAAGUAAGGAUAAGAAAAGGUGAGUGAGGAGGUGACAUGAAUAGGUAAGGCAUCGGGAUUAAGCCCAUCAAAAUAAGAGAGCUGAUGGUUUUCGUAAGUUAUAGAAAGCUCAGUAUAACCUGAAUGAACUCGAAGGAGUUUAAGACUAGGAGCAUUUAGAAGAGAUGGAAUGUUGCCCUUGUAGUAAAAUAGGAGUGUGAGUGUGAUAAACGAUAAGAUGAUGAUGUUUAGGAAUAUAGCUUUUGAUUGAAGUAAUGAUUCAAUCAUAAGGGAUUUUAUGAAUUGCACGGGAUUAGAAUACCUCCCAUAAGAUGAAUCACAUUGAGAUGCUAUGAAAUACAGUUAUUGAAGUAUAGUUUCAUCCCUAAGGUGGAUCAAGCAAAUAACUUCAGAUGUUAGCCGACGAGACGUGAGCCCUAGUUAAAAUGUAUUACGGAAGAAGAUUCAAGUUAUUACUGGUGGAUAAUAGUCAACAUUAAGAUGAAUCAACAAUAUAUGGAUAAAAGUUCUAAAGUAUGAGAUGAGAUUAUGUUGCCAUUCUUAAGAUGAACUGUAAUGAGAAAGAAUUAAAGGACUUAGAUUUAUACAUAUAGGAUAAGCAUCGAGAGUGUAACCUGGAGUUGGGUAGUAGACCUCACUAAUAAUAAACCGGAGUAAGUGUUAUCGUAUAGUAUGAAUAUCUAGAUACAGUAAAGCCAUAAGGAUAGAUAACCGAGGCCAUGAAAACAAAAUAUAGCAAUAGUCGUAAGUUCGACAAAGUACCAAGCGAAGAACUUCAGUAUACCUAUAGAUGCCCAGAGGAACAACUUGUCAUAGUUCUCUAUAUGUUUUGCAAAGUGAGGCCCAGAGACUGAAGCUGGAGAAAAAAGAAGAGUCGCGUAGGCGUGCAUACAAGGGCAGGGUCGUACAGGCUACAUGACAGAAGGUAGCAACAAUUAUGAGAUUGGAAGAAUUCUGGCCACAGUUCGUGUUUUGAG
Molecule: long non-coding RNA, 3554 nt
Organism: Nicotiana tabacum (common tobacco)
Lineage: Eukaryota; Viridiplantae; Streptophyta; Magnoliopsida; Solanales; Solanaceae
Source: RefSeq, a predicted model, not a curated record